Molecule: unclassified non-coding RNA, 817 nt
Filed under: Hevea brasiliensis (rubber tree)
Lineage: Eukaryota; Viridiplantae; Streptophyta; Magnoliopsida; Malpighiales; Euphorbiaceae
Source: RNAcentral
AAGUUGAUGUAUUAAUGAUAUGAACAUGACAUGGAAAUACUCUUUAAAUGUUUAUUAAUAAUUAGCUGUUUUGUAUGUCGUUUUUGUUAUUUAUCGUCUCUCGUCUGUGAAAUUGAUAGAGGUCGGACAAGUUAUAAAGUUGUUUGUGGGUCUGUUUUUUACGUGGUGUGUCGUCCACAUGCUAAGAUGGUUUAGGUAGCCAAACUGAAGCUAAAAUCCAAAUGGUUGUAUUCUAAGGAACUGAAUAUCUUAAAAGUUGAUAAAGACAUCAGUAUGACAAUUAUUGUUAAUCUUUUUUCUUCUGGAAUUGAUUUCUUUUUGACUAAGAAAUGGAUAUUGUUAGUUUUCAUACUCUCCAGACCACAAAAGGACCUUUUGAAUGGUAAUGUUGGAAUCUGAAAAAGUUGAAAUUGGAAAAUCUGGAAACAGGAAAUCUGGAAUCUCUAUUUGUAUUUCUAGAUAUAAAAUAGUAUUUCUUUGUGCUAUUAUAGAUUUUUCACAAGUUCCUGCAAAUAUAUUGCUAUUUAGUCUAUUUUUUCUAUGUCUUAAUUCUUUUCUUUUUGCAAUAAUUAUUUUAUUAAGUUCUUGUUUAUAUUCGUUAUUCAUCGUAUUUUUAAAUAUUUAAUAUAUUUAUAUUCUAAUUUAGAAAUAAUAUCUACCAUUUCUUCUAAUUCUUCAUUUUUUGUAAUAUUAAGUUCUUUAUAUUUUGGAUAUAAUUUGUCUAAUUUUCUUUUUAUUUUUCUUAUCUUUCUGUUGAUACCAUACUUGUUUUUAUUUUUCAUAGCUCUGAUACCAUUUUUGGGGGUGCGGAAUUCAU